GAUGAAGAACGCAGCGAAAUGCGAUAAGUAGUGUGAAUUGCAGAAUUCCGUGAAUCAUCGAAUCUUUGAACGCACAUUGCGCCUUCUGGUAUUCCGGAGGGCAUGCCUGUUCGAGAGUCAUUAACAACCGUUUCGAUCCCUUUCUUUCAGAAAUUACAAAGAGGAAAAGGGUUUGGUUAUGGUGGAGGAGGGAAAGGGAGCGUUUAGCCUGUAAAAAAAGAGGCUGUGUUCCGCCUCCCCCCCAAAAUUGUACAGGCGGUCGUGUGCGCCCACGCAUCGAGGUGUUGUAAAAGCUGCCACGGCACUUUUCACCUGUGCAGUGCGAGAUUGGCCAGCCGGUUUAAAAACCCCUCCAAACAAUCAAAGGUUGACCUCGGAUCAGGUAGGGAUACCCGCUGAACUUAAGCAUAUCAAUAAGCGGAGGA
Molecule: unclassified non-coding RNA, 425 nt
Filed under: soil metagenome
Description: partial contains 5.8S ribosomal RNA, internal transcribed spacer 2, and large subunit ribosomal RNA
Rfam family: 5.8S ribosomal RNA (bases 1-120)
Source: RNAcentral